Molecule: ribosomal RNA, 577 nt
Filed under: Debaryomyces maramus
Lineage: Eukaryota; Fungi; Ascomycota; Pichiomycetes; Serinales; Debaryomycetaceae
Description: LSU rRNA
Rfam family: Eukaryotic large subunit ribosomal RNA
Source: RNAcentral
CAACAGGGAUUGCCUUAGUAACGGCGAGUGAAGCGGCAAAAGCUCAAAUUUGAAAUCUGGCACCUUCGGUGUCCGAGUUGUAAUUUGAAGAAGGUAACUUUGGAGUUGGCUCUUGUCUAUGUUCCUUGGAACAGGACGUCACAGAGGGUGAGAAUCCCGUGCGAUGAGAUGCCCAAUUCUAUGUAAAGUGCUUUCGAAGAGUCGAGUUGUUUGGGAAUGCAGCUCUAAGUGGGUGGUAAAUUCCAUCUAAAGCUAAAUAUUGGCGAGAGACCGAUAGCGAACAAGUACAGUGAUGGAAAGAUGAAAAGAACUUUGAAAAGAGAGUGAAAAAGUACGUGAAAUUGUUGAAAGGGAAGGGCUUGAGAUCAGACUUGGUAUUUUGCGAUCCUUUCCUUUUUGGUUGGGUUCUCCGCAGCUUACUGGGCCAGCAUCGGUUUGGACGGUAGGAUAAUGAUUAAGGAAUGUGGCUCUGCUUCGGUGGAGUGUUAUAGCCUUGGUUGAUGCUGCCUGUCUAGACCGAGGACUGCGUCUUUUGACUAGGAUGUUGGCAUAAUGAUCUUAAGCCACCCGUCUUGAA